Ovis aries (sheep) is the source of this 72-nucleotide non-coding RNA. NCBI's taxonomy places the organism in Eukaryota, Metazoa, Chordata, Mammalia, Artiodactyla, Bovidae. The record is from Rfam.
UCCCUGAUAGCUCUAUUGGUAAAAAAUCUGCCUGCCAUGCAGAAGACCCUGGUUCGAUUCCUGGGUUGGGAA